GGUCCUGUGGCGUAAUUGGAAGCGCGUCUGACUACGAUCACCAGCUCCUAGCGACUGAUCGAGUAAUCAGGAGGUUCCAGGUUCGAGCCCUGGCAGGAUCG
Molecule: non-coding RNA, 101 nt
Organism: Canariomyces notabilis
Lineage: Eukaryota; Fungi; Ascomycota; Sordariomycetes; Sordariales; Chaetomiaceae
Source: the annotation of a RefSeq genome assembly